GACGAACGCUGGCGGCGUGCUUAACACUUGCAAGUCGAACGAAGUGGCGAACGGGUGAGUAAUACGUGGGUAACCUGCCCUCCUUUUUGGGAUAAGCCUUGGAAACGGGGUCUAAUACCGAUUAAAGGGGGAUGGGCUCGCGGCCUAUCAGCUUGUUGGUGGGGUGUUGGCCUACCAAGGCGGUGACGGGUAGCCGGCCUGUGAGGGUGAUGUGCCACAGUGGUAUUGAGAUACGGCCCAGACGCCUAGUGGAGGGAGCAGUGGGGGAUAUUGCACAAUGGGCUAAAGCCUGAUGCAGCGACGCCGCGUGGGGGAUGAAGGCUUUCGGGUUGUAAAGUACUUUCAGCGAGGAGGCGUUACUCGCAGAAGAAGCACCGGCUAACUACGUGACAGCAGCCGCGGUAAUAC
This 408-nucleotide ribosomal RNA is filed under the name uncultured bacterium. Its description in RNAcentral is "partial 16S ribosomal RNA". It matches the Rfam family "Bacterial small subunit ribosomal RNA", at positions 28 to 526 of the family's 1533-position model. The record is from RNAcentral.